This is a long non-coding RNA of Tympanuchus pallidicinctus (lesser prairie-chicken), 5942 nucleotides long. RefSeq lists it as uncharacterized. The record is from RefSeq and is a predicted model, not a curated record. NCBI's taxonomy places the organism in Eukaryota, Metazoa, Chordata, Aves, Galliformes, Phasianidae. The transcript is spliced from 12 exons.
UUGGGGGGGGGAAACCAGCACAGUGCUGCUGUUGCUGGGCUUUGAGUUUAUUUUUGUAAGGUUUGUUUUUUGGGUAACUGAAAGAAUUGCUGCUGCUGCGCUCCUCUGAUUUGUGGGGUUGUUACAGAGGCUGCUGCUGGGCUCCUGUCGAGCUGCUUUUUCUCGGGGCCCAGAGGGUUCUGAAGGUGCUGCAACCCCUUGUGCUCAGAGCGACAGGGGAACUAGUACAUCAUCACCUGAAGUGAUGACUGAGGACAUUAAAGAAGAUGUGGCCAGCAGGAAGAGAGAGGUGAUUGUCUCCCUCUGCUCAGCUCUCGUGAGUGCCCAUCUGGAGUACUGCAUCCAGCACAAGAUAGGCACAGAGCUCAUGGAAUGUGUCUGGAGGAGGACCACCUCUCUUGUAAAGAAAGGUUGAGGGAAUUGAGAAGGCCAUUCAAUGAUUCUGUGACGAGGGGAGCGGCUGGCCCAGGAAGCACAGGUGAAAGUAAUUCACCUGUUCUUCCCACGUGACUCAGGGUCUGCCCCUUCCUGAGCUCAUUUAAGGGCUAGCCUCUGCAGGGAGAACAUCUCCUGGAUGAAGGCUGCUUUCUGAGAAAGGAUUUUCUGUAUCUGAAGACCCUCGUUACUUCUCAAGGUCAGGGCUGUAUGAGAGUCACUUUUAAGCCUGGACCUGUGAGGAGUUCCACUGUUGGGCUGUGUCUGAGCAUGUUCUAAGCCUGGACCUGUGAGGAGUUCCACUGUUGAGUGGGUGCUGCUUUGGAUCAGUUCAGUCUGUGAGCAGUCCUAGUAGUCCCAUUGCUACUAGGAUUGCUUGUGGAUCCCAGAAUUGUGAAGGUGUUUUUGCUGCAGGUCUGGGACUUCUGUGGUGAGUAGUUCUUUUCCAGGGUUUCCCCUCCUGAAGGUUUUUUUUUCUUUAGGUUUUUGUGCAGCCCUUAAAUGGGAAGAAGAGAGUCCUGUGCCCUCCUGUGAUGGAUGUCUUUAUUUUUGGGCUAAUUGACUGAGGGUGGAAGGCCUUGUUCUGGAAGGAGAACCCACUUCCUUACUUCCUUUAGGGAAGGUCUUGAGCUCCAGUGCCUGGAUGUCUUGGAGAGCUUGUAGGUCACAGCCAAGAGAUGUACAGAAAAUGAACAAGAUGCAGCACCUCUCUAGUAAUCCCCGAUGAUUGCUGUGGUAGCUUAAUUUUGUGGUACUGAUGUUGAUUAGGUAUCAGCAUCAAGCUGUCAAAACCAAAUUAAAAGAAGCUAUGGGAAGCUUGACUGGAAGCCCCAUUUAGAAGAAAGGAAGAGAGUAUAUGUGCUCCUUAACUGUCUCGCUUGCUGCUAAUUUUGCUAUGAGGGUCAAGCAGUUUUGAUUACAGCAGAGCUUGUGGUGUAUCCCAACUAGGAAACUAAUCAGUGCCUAACUUGCAGCUGAAACUUUUCUGGAGUCUUGUUAAGAACAGUGCCAGCUGAUGAAUGGAGGCUUAAUGAUUACAAAAUUGUGGUCAGCUGCUCUUCCUAAGGAAAUUUCAGAAACCUACUUGACAGUGGGAGAAUUCCACAGCUGAAAGAACUAUGGGUUGUUAACCAAUGACUUGGGCUGAACCAUCUUAGUGGGCAGACUCUCGAAACCCCUGUCUCUAAUUACUCCAGAAAAUAAACUCAGUCUGGAUGAAUGCCAAACCACAUUCCUAAGGGGUGAGAAAGGCCCCACAUCUGCUUCUGGUGUAACUGUUUGUAUCUUCACUCUAGGAAAAUUAGGUUUGAAAUAAUCUCAAAUUGUCUGACACCUGUAUCCUAUUAGAAGUGACACAUGGAAACACCUUCAGCAUACUGAAUUUAGCACCACGUCAACAGCUUAAAGUUCACGGGAAAAAAUGGCAAAAAUCAUUGCUUCCCACUUUUGGCUGAAACAGACCCGGUGUCUUUUCACAGGAUGAUACUGCAAGCUUGGUCCAUAACUGCAGUGGGCUUUGAGCCCAUAAAUACAACAUAGUCUGUGCCCCAGCUAUGGCUGGAAUUAAAUCCAGUGAGCACAUUGUGGUGACUGGAGUCAUGCAAUAGACCAAGGCUUGUUGAGACACACCUAAGGGCUGGGUGCCAGCCAGCAGCCAGCAUGUGGGCACACAGAAGCUUCAGGGGCAAAGCAAUGCUAUAAUGUGGUGGAAAGUACAACAAAAAUAGCAGGUAGGCAAAGUAAGCCUUUGGCUACAGCAAACGAGGACGAGCCCAGAUGCAGCAGCCAUGGCUACUAUAAAUACAAAAAGGAAGAAAGGAAGGAAAGCUGCUUACCUUUAGAAGGCCUCAAGCACACAAGAAUCUCCAACAAGAUCCUCUCGCCUCCGCUGCCAGCCCUUAAAUGAGAUCCAGGAAGGGGUGUAUCCUGGCUCCACCCCUUCCACUCACUCCGGUUCAUUGCAUGCACCUGAGCUCCCCUAGGUUGGCCCUCCCUUCCCACCAGGUGCUCAAUCAGGCUGUGAUUUAGCAAAUCUGUUACAGAGAGCUUCUCUGAAGUUUGGCUGUGAAUCUUGAUUUUUGCAACUCACAGCUUCUUUUUAUGGUGAACAGACAAUAUAUCACUUGUCUUGAGCAGAGGAGUCAGAUUGGCGCUACAGAAGAUAAAUUCUGCCACGGCAUAAAGGUUUGGUCACGUUCAGACACAGAGAAGAACCAAAUGACUUCAGAAGCUGUGCAUCUAGUUUUGCUAUGAUGGCCUGUGCCUCCCUCAGUGCAGACUGCGACACACUUGUAGUGCUUUACUUGAAGCUCCGUGUGGAGCCUCCCAUUUGCAAAUUCCUCUAUUAGGAUAAAUCUGAUGACCUCUCCUCCGGAUAACUCACUGAUGAGAAAACACUAAUUCUGCUGAGUUAGGAGAAAGUACUUUCUUUCUUUUCAGAUAGCAUUGUUUUGCAGCAGUUCUGCUGAAAAAUUGCGAGUACACCCCAGAGUCAAGAAAACCAGAAAAAUGCUGUUCUUGAUCAUUUUUCCCUCACGUUCUGGCCCUUCGCUGACACCGUGUAAGCAAUCACUUUCUCAUCACAGUAGUUGUGACAGGCAAAAGGGAUAUUUACAGAAACACAGGCAGGUCACAGAGGUUGUUAAGAGCUCAAAAAUUGCAACUUAACUUUUGAAAGAGUAAGCAGAAGGCCCACAGCAGGGUUUGUAUUUUGUUAGGUGUGGCGCAGUACAGAAAGGGGGGAGUCCAGUUCCGACAGCACUGAGGCUAUGGAUGGUCAGAGAGGGGCGAAGGAUAACGUGUAAUUUCAGCACACCACUGCAACUACCUUGAUAAAAUGAUCAAGGAAAAUCUUACAAUGCAACCUACAAUACAAUACAACCUAGCUGAGGUGGUGUUUAUUCUGAGAAAACAUCUUCAGUGGCACAAGACCUGUUUUGGAUCCCAAAGCCUUUCUCAGAAUUAUAACCUUCAGCUUACGAGAGAAAACUGUGACUAGAUCCCUGCAAGUUUCCCAAGAAAGAAAAUGAGAAAUUGCUGUAAGUGAAACGUGUGUGUGCACUGGAGGCAUAGACUCACUGCAGUCUUUUGGAAACAGCCUUCCAAAAAGGAUGUUAGAUAGUAGGAUGCUUUCCCAAAAAGGAUGCUACAAAUCACAUGCUUGAGUUAAGAAAUGACAGCAACAGUCCGAAGGGAACAUACGGGACAGGCAAUAAUACUUCAUUAUGAAUGCCGAUUAGAUGAUUUCUCUUUCUAAACUAUUUUUGCCUCUUAUGAAUAAAUGAGAGAAAACAAGGGUGCCUUGUAAACAGCUGCUUCGGGCCCUUGCAAACCUUCAAAAUGACGAGGUGCCAACGUGAAUUUAAUAAGCCCGCUCUUCCUGUAUUCUAGUCAGUUCCCAGCUGAGGCUCAACUGGGAUACGGAUGCAGUGUUGCUAUUUGUGAGUGCAAAUACUGAUCCCAUCCAGAUAUCUGGAUAAGCCGUCCUCUUCCCUAUGGGCAGCUUGGCUUCUGAGACAGACUUUAGCUGCACACCCCUCUAUCCCUUUAUCCAGACUGAGAGCUCCACAAAGAGCAGAAUUGACAGAUACGCAUUGUGACGGUAAACAUGAGCUGUUGAACUCCAAGCCAAAAUGCCACCACAGUCGUCCCAUGUAUAUCAGCUACUGCCUUUAUCAUUAUUUCACAUACCUUAAAGACAAGAGACUCUUGCUUCAUAUAGACUUCAGGGAAAAAGAGCUGCCUGCUGGCCUCUAAGCAGCCCAAUUCUUUGUGAAGUGACACUGGCCAAGACAUCUGGGGCACAAGGCAGUGUCGUCCUUGGCUGCAUGGGCGGAUUGCAGCAAAGACAUAUGUACAGCAGUGAUAGGUGGUAUCAGAACAUCCUCUACUUGAAACUUCUCUGAAGGUCAGUGUGAUACUAUUGAAUACAAUAACAUGGAAGAAGCCUCAGUGCUCUUCCCAAGAUGAAUCCCUUUCUCCUGUUUCUAAAGAUUUUCACUUUUGUGUCAUCAGUUGUAGUUGUUUGGCUACACAGUCAUUAACAGCAAGGACUAGAGGUAAUGGCCUUAAGUUGUGACAGGGGAGGUUCGAGUUGGAUAUCAGGAAAUAUUUUUUCUGAGCAAGAGUGGUGACAAACUGGAACAGGCUGCCCAGAGAGAUGGUGGAGUCACCAUCCCUGGAGUGUUCAAGAAACGUGGAGAUGUGGCGCUGAGAAACAUGGUCUAGUGCAGUCACAGGCAUGAAUUGGUGACUGGACUAGAUGAUCUGAGCGGUCUUUGCAACCUUAAUGACUCUAUCAUUCUGUAACUAGAGGAACAUGGUGACAAGCAAAAAACAGUGAGCUUCAAGGUAGACAGAUACAACAGACAGACUGUUACACUAGUAGUCCAGUGUCCACGUGUACCUAAUUGCAGCAUGGGACUCAAAAUCUUAAUGAGAAGGAUGCCAAAAUAAUCUUUUAAACCAUAAACAGAACUUCGCAGUUGGUAGACUUCCCCAAAGAAAGGAAUCUGUUUCCUUUGAAAAUACUUGCUAAUAGCAAGUCCUAUGAAGUUAUACGUAUCUACAGUUUCUACAGCAUAUGUAUUAUGAAUUUUUUUUUCUUCCCCCUUCCCCCCCCCCCCCCCCCCCCCUCUUGGAUAGCUACAGAAGAAAGCUGUGAAUUUGCCUGCUUUGUUGACUGACAGUGUUGCAUUUCUCAAGUCUGGCAGCUGCUCAGGAAACAACAAUGAUGAGCCAGGGUCUUGAUAGCACUCACUUCAGUCCUCAGAAGACUCAUGACAAAGCAGAAGAAGAGAAAUACUAUCUUCACCAUGUCUGAACCUUUCUUUGUUUUUGGCUCAAAGUUAGCUUUCUGAGGCAUUUCUUGCAAUAACGCUCUGACUUACCUAGGAGAUGAGAGGGAGGUGUUGGCGUAUGACAAUCAACAUCAUUUUGUGGACAAUUUCACAUUUGAGAGCAUUUCUUUGAAGCUGAUUGCCUUGGGAAUACUGUGCUCAGGAAUGUUUACUGGCAGAAAAUCUGGCCUGUGACCAAAUAACUCCAGCUUGGUAUGGGAGAUUGGAGAAUGAUACCAUCGUAUCCUGUGAAAAACAGGAUGCAGGUGGGCACCUCCCUGCUCCCUCUUAUCUGAUGGCAAGGCCCAGAAGAUGGGAACAGAGGAGUUUUUGCUGAGAUCCCAAAGCCAGAAGCUGCCAGUCCAAAGAGAGAGGACUUGACCGCUUUGUGUUUGAGCUGUUAUUCCAAAGGGAGCUGACUCGACCACUUUGGACUUAUUUAUAAGUUUGUACAGUCGCCGUUGUUAUUGUCAGCCAAACAACAGCUCCCAUUGCUACUGAAGAUCAACGUCUGAACUAUGAGCAAUGCUGGAAUAUGUGAUGGUGACUAUCUCCCUCUUGCUUCCUACAAGAACUCCCUGCUUGUAUUUCCUAUCGCUUUUCUAUCGUCCACCUUCCAUUCCCCAUCUCCUUAAGCAACUUGGAUUUGUAAUGAACUGGUCGGGCUAA